GCAGUUCCCACACUGCUGCCAGAACGUCUCCGGGGGGUCGGUGGAAUGAGAACAGGCUCUGUGCUCAAGUAAGGCUGAGGCUGCUGGGCCACCCCAGGGCCCAGGAGCACAGCAAAGUGACCGUCUGAGAUGAGAACAAGGCCCCACCCAGCAGAAGUGGGCCCACGGUACAGCCUCUGGGUGGACACAGGAUGCGGGGGGCUCAGGGGAGAGGCUGGCGGGACCCGUGGCUCAGUCGCCUAGCAGGUGCCUCACCACUCUUCCCCUCCGGGGCUGACCAGGGAACAUGCUUUACAAAACACAUGCCCAUUGAACGGCAGCGAGGCUUCAACACCCCAGGCAGAAAGGGGCAUCUGGGGGCAACGUUCCUGCCUGGGGGUGCAGCAGGCUACAGCCCUGAGUCAAGGCCAGUGUGGGGGCCAAGGUGGCCAUGGGGCCCAAUGGGGACUCACGUCCUGCCAGGUGCUGGAUGAUCUGGUCCAGGGAGUCGAGGAUGCAGCCUUUGGUCUGAAAGGUUAUCUGGGCUUCGGCAAACAGCUCAAAGAUGUAGCUGCAGAGGACAGAGGCUCAGGCAGGGCCCAGGCCGCCCCCUGAGAGGAGGCCAAACUUCAGAGCCCUGAGUGUGAAGGAAAAGGCAAGGCCCCACAGGGCAGCUCUGGGAGGCAGGUAAGCCCUGCCGACUGGGCCGUGAAGGCCGAAGGGCCUGGAGCAGCUGGGAAGCAAGUGGGAGUCCCACAAGGCUCUGAGCACAGUGUGACAGGUGGGCUCAGGAAGAAGGCAGGCAGCCGUGCUCCAGCACAUUCUAGAACAUUCCACACCUCAAGAACCUGAGGCUGGAUCCCAGCACAGCUGUCAAUUGUGCCCUGAGGAAAGCUACAACUGGCCCCAGGCCACGAUCCCUCACCUGCCUUUAGGAAAUAAAGCCAGGUGCCCUGGGCUGCUGAGACCACAGUCCUGCGCACCCCGGCCAGCCAUCCGGGCCUACGGGCGGCCGGAAGAGGAGGCUGGCGGGAAGAUGCGCACAGAAGCUCCUCACUCUGAAGGGUGGCUGUGCUGUCGCCCAAGGGCUGGGCCAGAGCUGGAGAGGCCGGGGCCAGGGCAGCUGGGCACUGUAAGGAGAGCCGGGCACACCCACUGUCCUUUACCUCCCUGGCUUGGUGACACCACUCUGGUCCCCCGGCAGCUCAACGGCAUCGAUGGCCCCCUCCAGGCGAAGCAGGAUCACUGUGGGCAAGGGGUCGUCAGGUGCAGCCCGCCCGGCCACGCUGCAGCGGGGGAGGGCAGCACUCACCCUUGAGCUUGGCGAGGUCUUCCAACUCCAUGCGCAGCCCUGGGAGAGCAGCAAACGCACCAUCACUUUCCACCGCCACGCACCGCAUCCUGGAGACAGGAUUCGGGCUGGAUUCCUGCCAGUUUCCCCAAGUCGUGGCGGUCUGGAGGUUCGCACAGACCCGUCCAACAGGCUCUGAACCCUUGCAGCCCGAACGCAGGCCAGAAGCAGCGGUGUGAGCUGGCGGUGUCUCACCACUAGGGACACGGGAGCACACACACACUCGGAUGCUCGCUGGAGGCCCAGGACAACGACCCAGCUACAAAGUGUCCCAGCGCCCGCAUCGUGGCUCUUGCGAGAUCAGACCUCCCGCGAGAGGAAACCAGGACUGCUUGGAGACUUGGCUGGAGCCAGAGGAGGGACAGGAAAAGCGAGGACAGGCGAGGAAUAGCCCAGUCUCCCUCAAGGCCUGGCGGGGCCACGCUAACGGCCAAAGAUGGGACCCUGAGUUCAGGGAGGAUGAGGCUUAGAGCAGACCGUGCUGAAACACAAGUACCCACUGACGACGUUAAAACUGCUGUCCUGAGGGGCGCGUGGGGGGCUCAGCCGGUUGAGCGUCCGACUUUGGCUCAGGUCACGAUCUUGCAGUUCAAGAGUUCAGGCCCCGCGUCCGGCUCUGCUCUGACAGCUCGGAGCCUGAAUCCUGCUCUGGAUUCUGUGUCUCCUUCUCUCUGCCCCUCCCCUGCUCAUUCUCUCUCUCUAAGAAUAAAUAAACAUUAAAAAAAUUUUUUUUCAACAGAAAACCCCUACUCUCCUGAGGGGGACAAGGGACCAAUAAGCAGUCGAGAAUAAACUCCCAAAUGUGAAAAUUGGGAAAAUGAAGGAAAACAAAAAAACAAGCAUCUAUUCUGCUUUUCCUAUAAAAACAAUAUCACCAGGGGCAUCUGGGGGGGCUCAGUUGGUUAAGCACCUGACUCUCGAUUUCGGCUCAGGUCAUGACCUCGUGGCUUCAUGAGUUCGAGCCCCACACUGGGCUCUGUGCUGACAGUGUGGGGCCUGCUUGGGAUUCUCUCUCUCCCCCUCUCCCUGCGCCUCCCCAUCUCUCUCUCUCAAAACAAGCUUAAGAAAAUUCUUUUUUAAGUUUUUAAUUUCAAUGAUGUCCAAUUUAUCUUUUUUUGUGCUUGUUAGUUGGCGUCUUUUUUUCUAAGGUUUUAUUUAUUCACAAAAAUCUCUGCACCCCAUGUGGGGCUCACACUCACAACCCCGAGAUGAAGCAUCACACGCUCUUCCGACUAAGCCCACCGGGCACCCCAGCUGGCAUCACUUGAGACCACGGGCCUGUGUGCAGUCCCAGAGAGGGACACCGAGGGGAACGGGCCCCAGGUGUGGGCUGUGCUGAGCGGCCUCCUUCCAGGGAGGACGGGGUGGAAAGGAGAAGUAACCAGCGACUGCAAAGAGGCCCCGCACACAAAGGGGCUCGCCUGGUGGUCCCGGCCGAGGGUCCUAAGUCACACACAGCUGGCGGGACGGGACAAGAAGGGCACUCUCCCAAGCCCGGGAGCCCCAGCACAGCCCUGAGAGAAACAUCGGAUGCAUCCGAUUAGGGCACAUGUUGCAAAAGGCCUUAUCAACCUUCCUCCCGACUGUCAAGGUUUUUCAAACUCAAGGAAAGUCUGAGAAACUCACAGACGAGAGCUGGCUGGGGGGGGGGGGGGGGGGGGGGGGUGGCUGGUGUCACGUGGUUUUCCAGGACAGAACAAGGACAUCACAUGAAAACUAAAGAUAUCAGCCACUCCACACCCACAGCACAGCCCUUCCCAGAACAAAAUUCACAUUCCUGAAACAACUGAAAAAGCCUUCAAUUUCACUCCCGGAAGGAAAGCAAACGAACGGCACACCGCAGCCCGGUCUAUUAGACCGGCAGGAUGAAAAGGCCCAAGGUCGCAUUCUGUGGCCAGGGCUGUGGGGACGCAGACCUCUGCCCACUGCCGGUGGGAGUGCAAACGGUCCCCUGCCACCAGUGAUGAGGGGCCCAGGGUUCAACAGCCCAACAGCAUGCUUCCCUGUCGACAGCAGCCCCGGAUCCUGGAGCUGACCCUGAAGUGCGUGUGCCAUGUUGCCCUCACGGCGCCGUUUGUGACCGGGGGUGUUGGGAACAGCCUAGAUGCCAUACAGACGGACAUGGGACAUCCACAGGGGGACUCAGGCAGCCGAGGAGGAGGGAGCCUCUGCAAGGGGAGGCCUUGGCCGGGCAUGCUAGGAACGAAAGCAGUAAGGUGCAAACACGCGUCUCCAAGGAGCACACGGCCCUGCGUGCAGGGGAGAAGAGGGAGGCAGCAACACACGCUUGUAUCUGCUGCUUUCGUGGGGGAAAUAUAGCCCAAAACAGAAUAAACCAGAGACUGACAAGACACUUCUCGAGUAGACGAUGACUUCUGGACCCACGUUAACAUUUCAAAUGCUCAAGAAAUAGCAAAGGCGUGAUAAAAUCAACAGAGGGAGAAAAUGCGUAAGAAGUGAAAUCUAAAGGAGAACAAAGGAAGCGGAGAGGAUGAUGAAACGACAGUGGAGCUGCAGGCACAGCCGAGCCCCAGGGCACAGUAUGCGGGCUGCACACUUGGGCCGACGACAGAACGGGUACGAGCGAGCGUUCGGCUCUGGCGAGGAAGCCUGCCGUUAUCACGGAUGCGUGAGCUGUUUAGAAACAACCGUCUGGGUAUUCCAGGAUAAAACAAGUAUCUAGGCCACAGAAGAGGACAUCUGUCCAGACCACAGCUCUCAGGCCACAGAGACACGGCCACGGUGUGGCUCCCAGACCACGACAUUUCCUCUGGUUGUGUCUCAGGCUACAGUGAGGACGGCUGGACAAAUUCUUGACAAGAGUGCACUAUCGAUGUUGGUCUCCCGAUCAGAGCAAGGCCACACGAGAGUGUCCUUGUUCUUGGGAAACAAACGCUGAGAUACAGAGUAUCGGGAAGGAUGCACAAAAAGAGAUCAUCCGUCCACAGAACUCAAAUAGAAACAGGAGAAAAACAAAAGAUGAUUUUAAAAACGAAGACUAAAUCGGAAGGAAAACCAAAGUGGAUGCCUGCCACGGCGACUUCAGAGAAACAGAAAGAGAAAGGGGGCAAUUUUUUACAAGUCAGGAAAGACACAGGAAAGACCUUGAGGCAGAGGAGGCUCUGAACGCGUCCCCGAAGAAGAAAACCGGAGCCCAUAACAAGAGCUGAGCACGGCAGGCCAGGACACUUCCGCGGACGCAGAGCAGUCUGAAACCACGUGUUGAGGGGGCACGUCGCAUGGCAGACACUGAGACACUAUGACAAAGUCACUGCGCUUUGGAGAGUUCUGAGAGGACACAGACUUGAAAAUAAAAAUCUCAAGAUAACAAGGUUUAAGAAAAACAUAAGACCAUCCAUCCAGAUAAUCCACUUCUAGGUGUCCUCUCAGAGAAACACGUAGCUGUUCACUCAAACACACGUGCAUUCGGGCGUUGAACACAGCUCUGAUUCAGCAGUUCUGAUGAAGGGAAAAUGUGAAACAGGUACACACGGGCAGGGCUCCAUGGGGGCAGACAAGCUCCUGUGAGGCUCAGGGACCUGGAGCCCGAGACCGGCUCAGGGGGCCUGCAGGGCCACACCUGUCUUCAUGACAACGCCACCCCUCAGCAUGACACACAGUUUGCCUUUCCCCUCGGAUGGACCGGCCUGGACGGACUCGGGAGACCUAGAAGACGAUACAUCUGUGUUGCCCGGCGUUGCCGGCACUACCUACCGCAGCAGCGGGAAAUGAACGCAGCACGUGAUGGGCGGUACCGCAUCAGAGCAAAAGCAGAAAGUUACGGCCCAACCACCUUUGACAAAGCCAGAUUGUUAAACAGAUCUUUUUAACCAUAAUAAGAUGCCACUCUUUCGAUUUUUAAAAUACAGUCGUUUUUUAAGAAAAACGUUCUUGGGGCACCUGGGUGGCUCAGUCGGUUAAGCGUCCAAUUUUGGCUCAGGUCAUGAUCUCACGCACAGUUCCUGGGUUCAAGCCCCGCCUUGGGCUCUGUGCUGACAGCUCGGAGCCUGCUUCGGAUUCUGUGUCUCCCUCUCUCUCUGCCCCUCCCCUGCUCGUGCUCUCUCUCUCUCUGUCUCUCUCUCUCAAAAGAAAGGAAGGAAGGAAGGGAGGAAGAGGGAGGGGAGCGGAGAGAGAUAAAGAAAGAAAAGGAAGGAAGGAAGGGAAACAAAACACUAUUUGUGUUAACAUGCCACGGACUGAACCACGUUCUAUAAAAAGAUCUGUUCAAUUCCUAACCCGUGGUCUCUGUGAGUGUGACCGUAUCUGGAAACAGGGUGUUUGCAGAUAUGAUCAAGUUAAGAUGAGGUCACUGUGCAUGACAGUGGAUCCUACUUCCGUGACCGGUGUCCUUACAAGAAGAGGGACAUUUGGACACAGACACAUGGGAGAGAAACCCGCGUGAAGACGCAACGGAGGCUGGAGGCUGGACAGACGCCCCAGACGCCUCAGGAGCCUUAGUGUGGAGCUGACGUGCGGGCCUCAGACUUGGGCCCCAGGGCAGGGGCAGGGAGAGGGGGGUCCUGUUGUUCCAGGUCGCCCGGCUUAUGGCGUGUUGUUACGGCAGCCCUGGAGCCUCACGUAACGCGUAAUGGCUCGUUACUCACAAGAACAAAUACAUCGUUGUGACCUGUUUAGUCUCUGUUUGUUUAGUUUCCAUUUCUAAUACAGUAAUCAUCGAUAAACAUAAUUCACGGGAAGACAAAUCAGUAAGGUUUCUUCUUAACUUUAACUUUUUUAGAUUUAAGUUUUCAUUUAUUUAUUUUGGGAGAGAAUGUGCACGUGAGUCAGAGAGGGGCCGAGAGAGAGGGAGAGAGAGAAUCCCAAGCAGACUGUGCACUGUCAGCACAGAGACCGAUGCGGGGCUCAAACUCAUGAACCGUAAGUCAGACACCUCACUGACUGAACCGCCCAGGCGCCCAGAAUUCAGUAAAGCGUUAAGAACAUAAAGGUCCAAACCAAAGCAUUUGAGAACUUCUGUGCCAACCACACAAGCGCCGCUUACGAACCCUCCGUCCAACGGCGCGGGGCUGUGGGCAAGCCAGCGGAGGCCUGACCGAGAGGGCAGACGCAGGUGCCCUGGGCAAGAAGGGAGCAUGGAGCCCGCAGGGGGGCCUCUGCUCCCUCUGGAGACUGUUCAGUCUCCGGUCGCAAAGAGGAAGCUCCAGCUGCCCCCGCCGGCACCCCGAGCCUGACGGCACGACACAGCAAAGCCUCUGGAGACGCCACCGUGCAGAGCGCAAACGUCCCAAACCUCUAGCAACCAGACAGGGGAGGUGCCUACGGCAGAGCGGUCCUGCUGUGACCUUGUCAGCCACUGACAGAGGCCGUGGAGCGGAUCCACGCAAACUAACCGUGGCCACCAAACACGUGCACGUCCAGCACAAUUACCCUUGUGUUCAGGAAAACACCGGGAGGGGACUGUGAGGAGAGUGAGCCACAUACGAGUAACGCUAGCGGGUCUUUGAUAAAUGACGUACUUCACAGUUAACACGUGUAGUUUUCAUUUUUAUACAGUGGAGUCUCUACCGCUGGGAAACUGUGGAAAGGUCUUCAGAGAAUGAUGGAACGGUCAGCGGGCACCCACUCCCUGCUCCGUGAAGCCCCAAGACCCUCCUAACAUAAUUCAUCUUGGGGCACCUGGGGGCUCAGUCAGUUAAGCGUCCGACUUUGGCUCAGGUCAGGAUCUCACUGCUCAUAGGUUCAAGCCCCACAUCAGGCUCUGUGCUGACAGCUUGGAGCCUGGAGCCUGCUUCUGAUUCAUCUCUGUCUCUCUGCCCCUCCCCUGCUCCUGCUCUCCCUCUCUCUUGCUCUCAAAUGUAAAACGUUGAAGAAAAAAGAAGUUCACCUUGUCCCCAAACGACUGAAGAAGGCGCUGGGACCGGAGACCACCGGGCAGCCUGUCUUGUCUCUCGUCUCCCACCUGCAAACUCACCUGAGGCGGCAGAGUCCGCACUGAAGUCCAGGUGGAACUCGCCCUGCUGUGCCACCUUGGUCUGCUCCUCCAAGACCUGGUCUAUGGCGUCCAGUCCAGAAGCCACGUCAUGGGGGGUCAGGUCGAAGGAUGCCGACUCCUCACACAUCUUUUCCUGAGACCAGCAUACACGCUACAGCCAAACGGGGCAGGGACUCGGGGGUCCAGGAAGCCAAGGUGCAGAUGAGGGUACAGGAAGCAGAGGCCCCCCCCCCUACCCGCCAAAGUCCCCCCUCCACGGUCUCUAAGGCCAGGUCACAAACUGGUCCAAAGAUGGCCAUCCAACCACACGAGUGUCUGAAACUUCGUCAGCAGAAAAUUUCCCAUUAGAAUACAGAUUUCUGGGGGCACCUGGCUGGCUUAGUCAGAAGAGCAUGCGACUCCUGAUCUGAGGAUUGAGUUCAAGCCCCAAAUUUGGUGUAGAGAUUACUAAAACAAAAUAAACUUUAAAAAAAAAAUAGAGAGGGGCGCCUGGGUGGCUCAGUCGGUUGAACGACCGACUUCGGCUCAGGUCACGAUCUCACGGUUCGUGGGUUCUAACCCCAUGUCGGGCUCUGUGCUAACAGCUUGGAGCCUGGAGCCUGCUUCGGAUUCUGUGUCUCCCUCUGUCUCUGCCCCUCCCCAACUCAUGCUCUCAGAAAUAAAUAAACAUUAAAAAAAGUUUUUUUUAAAAAUAUAGAUUCCUGGUUUUCCUCAAAAAUUCUAUCUGGCCCACUGGACCUAUCGUCCCCCAUAACAAUGCCUGGAACCAAGCGGAAGCUUGAGAGUGGCCACCACUGUCCCAGGACACAAGGCUCCAGAGCACCCAAGCAGCCUUCUUCCAGUGCCCUGGCCAAGGCCAGCCAUUCCUGGAAACACAGGCCCUGAGCGGGGGUCACAGGAACAUGUGAGGCAGGGUGCAGGUGAGAGAGAGGGGCCAGGAGGUGGCCUCUUUGAGCCGAGUCUGGUUAUGGCCACCAACGGGGAGCAUCAGGCCAGGCGUCCACUGAGAGACAAAGAGAACAAAACAGACGGGAGGGGGGUACUGGGGGGGAUUCCAGGUGGAAGUGGGCCACGGGGCCGGACGGUGUGCCUCGCCUGGGGCUCGGAAAGGUCUGCACUGCUCUCCGCAGGAAGGCGGCAAAGGAGAGGUGUGGCCAACGGCCACCCAGCUACUCACCACAUUGUGAGCUUCAUCGAAAAUCACAACCGUCCCCUUCAGGUCAAUGCUGUGCGCCCGGCGGCUCUGCACCAAGAGGGGAAGGACGCAGGGCUGGAGCCAAGAAGCACGAGGCAGGCAGGGGUGGGCCGGCCCUCCCCCUCCUCCCCAAGCGUCACCACCGCACCGCCGGAGCCGCGGGCAAUCCCCUCCACUCCACCCACCCGCCGCUGAGCUGGACUUCAGGUGGCCCUUCUGGCGACACACACGGCACGAGGGAGCAGACGCGAGCACCGCAGCUACUGCAGCCACACCCGCCUGCUGCCCUGAGGAAGGGUCUAGUCUCAGGAACUGAACGAGCAAAGGCCCCACCGGCCCCUGUGAGGCCAGGGACACCCGCUGACGUCAGCACUCGGCAGCCACGCGAGCAGACGGCUCACCUUGGCGUCCAACAAGUAGUUGUACGGCAUGAAGAUGAUGUCAGCCUGCUGCUUCAGGUUCCGAGACAGGUAGUACGGGCACAGCCUGUGGGGAGCAGGGAGGUGGCGCCGUGAGCACCACAGAGGGGGGACCAGGUCCCUGGAGGGGCUCCUGCUGCGGGGCAGGCGUGAGGAAGGAGCCCUCGUGCUGCACGGGGCCCAGACAGGAGCCGGAGCCUGGGGACGGUGGGAGGGCCCACAACUCACACCUGAGUCUUUGACCAGGGACUUCGACUGGGUCACCGAUUGAAAAUUCCACAUAAACAGGGGCGCCUGGGUGGCUCAGUCGGUUAAGCGUCCGACUUUGGCUCAAGUUACAAUCUUGUGGUUCGUGGGUUCAAGCCCCGCAUCAGGCUCUGUGCUGACAGCUCAGAGCCUGGAGCCUGCUUUGGAUUCUGUGUCUCUCGCCCUCUGUCCCUCCCCUGCUUACGCCCUCUCAAAAAUAAGUGAAUGUGCGUUAAAAAAAAAUUUUAAGCAAAAAAAAAAUAAAUUUCUACAUAAACAAAAACCCCAAUGCUAUUCCUGGGUACAGAGCUGAGGCAGUCAGAAAGAAAACGCUGAGCCCCACGUUAGCACAACUCGGAGCCUUAAAGCCGUAAGAGGCUGAUACACACAGCAGAGAGGCAGGCAUGUUCUGUGGGAACGGGCCAAGUGGGGAGGGCAGGUGCGCUGCCCACCGGCUGCUGGAAGCCACAGUGCGUCCUCCAGGAGGCCAGAGCUGCCCGUCAGCACGGUGGUGACGGCUUCCCUGCCUGUGUUCCUCAGAGACACUUCCGUUUUUCACACUGAGCAACUGUUAGCUUUAUGACCAGUCGAGGCAACGAGGACCACGGCUCAUGGUGUCCUGCCAGAACCCGCCCGGAGGACGCGGUGGCUGCUGCCUGGCUGGGAGGGGUCUUACUUGUGCUUGUUCCCACUUUUGACCAGGUCUUCAAUGUCCAGGAUGGAGGUUGUCAGCUCCUGCUCCAGGCUCUUCUCUGGGGAAAGAGGCAGGAGUAAAGACGUGUCCUCAGGCCCACUGAGUCCCCGCAGACCCCAGAGGGACGCCCAGAACAGCAUGGCUCCCACAUAGUGAGCAGUGGCCACGGCCACCCCAAGACUCUCCCUCAGGGCAAGAUGGGGGCACCCCCCCGCCAGGGACUCACCAGAGAGAACUCCUGCCCUGUCAGCCUGAGGGUCACCUGGGAAGGACCCCAGACCUUAAGCCCUGCCCUGUACCUCAGAAGGUGGCUGCUGGCCUGAGACUGAUAAAUAGGAGAGGGGAUCCCUGGGAACUUGGGGGUUACGGGGCUGGAGGGGGUGCACAGUCCCACAGCCCGUCACCACCAUCCCAGACACUCUCGAGGCUGUGCCCUGGGAGCAUCUGUCUUACUAGUAGGCUUCAGUCUGGCACCAAGUUGCUUUCUCUCCCCGCCCCCACCCCCAAAUGUCAACAGUACAGGGAGCACAGAGCAGAGGCAGGGCAGACAGGAAGGAUGGGGCGCCCCGAGGCAGAACCCACCUGACAGACCCAGGGCCCCUCCCUCGGGAUAGCAGCCCAUAAGCACCACACCCUGCUGGCUGUCCACCCUGCUGGCUGGACAGCCAGGUGGUCCAGGGCAGAAAGGCGCUCCAGAAGGGGCACAGAACCUUCCCAGGGCCCCAGGAACCCUCUGGGGAGCUGCUUUAACCCGGCCACUCGGGAGCCCUCGCCCAGGCUGGCGGGACCAGGGCUCUCCUCUAAAAAACACCCGAGGGCCCCAGGGCAGCCUCCUGUGGAACUGGGCUCCUGGCUCCCAGCCCCACUGUGGCAGGUACCAGGCCCAGUCCACUGCAGAAGCCGGAACACAGUGACCCGACCCCAAAAUGCCCCCAGGGACAGCAGGGAGAGAAGCUGCAAGCUGGCACUGCCAUAGCAACAGAGCAGCCAACCACAGGCUCUGUGGCAGGCCAGCCCGGAGCCCGGACACCUUCCUGGGGCAGGGGUGUGGGUUGUGAAGGGAUCCCAGCCAGCGCGGACCCCGGCGCGCAGAUGCUGCGGGCAGCCAGAAGGGCCCUUCGCCUGCUUCCCCAGAUGCAGGCCAGGCAGCACUCCUGCUCUGCACCUCUCUUCCUCCUACACGUGCCUCUCCUCCUCUCAGACCCCUCCUGCAGUCUCUGCUCACUCUCCCCAGAGCUGGGCAGCUUCUGGCGAUGCCCCCUCACGUCCCACGGCAGGGCAGAGGAGGCUGAGACACGGACCUCGGACAGGGCGUGCGGCAAGAACCAGAGCAAAACGCGGAGGCUGGGGAUCAGGGGAAGACCAAUGGAGGCUGGAGCCAGCAGGGCAGAUGGGACGGCACCCACACUCUGCCGUGCGGGGCGGGGAGAUCGGAGGGGGGUGGUCUGCAGCCCAGAGGACCAGCACACGCCAGCUCCAGCAUUGACUCCACUUUGGGCUGAAAGUGCCCCUCAGCUCCCACCACCCACCUCUGGACUCCUGAUCCAUCCCUGCUCCAGCACCCACCAGACAAGAAGUCCUUGACAGGUGUGAGGGGCACCCCCACCGUGGAAAAGCAAAGAUCUGACAGAUUUGGAGUCAAGGGCACCAGCGCCAGCCCUCCACUCUGGGCCCGAGGAGAGGAAGGAGUAUGCACCAAGGCCGUGGGCACCUGCACAUGCACCCAUCGAGCCACACUAGGGCCAGCUGUUGUCAUGACCCUGUGCCAGUCACUUCAGCCACCUCUGGGAGAGGCUGCCCACUCCCCGACACAGCACCAAAGGACAGAGCACUCCCAGGACUCAGGGGAGCCACGGUCAAAGGACACAUGCCGAAAUCAGAAGGAAAAGCCGGUGGAGUUCGGGAGACCACGGAGAAGCUUCCAGAACCCCCUCCCUGAGCUAACUCCCCCAGAAUGAGCCGAGACUACGUGUGAAAUGCUGUCUACUGGGAGGCUCGCCAGAAGCCCAGCGCCCAGGGCUUUUGCUGGGGGCUGGUCACGUAGGCAGCCCUGGCUGGAGAGCACCCCAAUUCCAGACUCUGCUCAGCAUAAACCAUGUUGUUUGCACCAACAGUUUAGGCCCUGAGAGCCCCUACCAGGGAAUGGUGAAGCCCUGAAAUCCCAGUUCCCAGACCGCAGCAAGGCCAGCCUUGCCAGGAGGCCCCUCUGGGAUGGAGGCCUCUCCUGCCCCGGCGUAUGAGCCGUUCUGCACACGACCCAGGGCAGACCCGCGGCCAGGAGACAGUGCUCGGACCACUGCACCUCGCGGAGCCCCCGCGGCCACUCUGGAGCCCGAAGGGGAGAGCCAGCAGGCCACGAGGCCUAAGAGGCUGCACGUGCUCCAAGCCCACCUGGCUGUACGCUGAGCGAGAAGCAGGAAUGGCUUCCACGAACCCCCUCUCACCUUCCACGUUGUUGUAGAAGUGACAGGAACGACUGGCCACCUUUUUCCGGCACAAGUGGAUCUGGGAAAAAGAGGGAGCAGGCCCGGCGGGCCCAUGGUCAAGAAAGGACAGCGCACCGGGCCAGCCAGGGAGCACCCUGCCUGAUGUGUGGAGAGCGAGUCCUGUCCCGGCCCUGCCCCCACCAGCUCUUCACCGGGCUGUCCCGCGGGGCACAGCCGAGGGAAAGAGCCACCCCAGGAGCCCACCUGCAUGUGGUUACUCUCCUGCUUCUUCACCUCAGGGUGGAUACACAGCUGCUCCCGGGAACCCAGCACACAUACCCUGGGCCUGGCAGAAGAGAGAGCCGUGGGGUCCAAGAACCAGAGGGCACCAGCCCCCAGCGCCAUCCAGCAGCAAGAGCAUGCGCUGCGGGGGGCACAGCGGGAGACAGAACUCACAAGAGGGAGUGGCUGGGGCCAGAACGGACCCAGGCUUGGGCGGCACUCUCUCUCGGCUGCAUCGCCCAGAGUGAGCAAGGAGACAAGGCAGGGGAAGCAGGGCAGACGGAGGAGACCCCACCUACUCUGUGCUCCCCCACCCAGGAGGCUGGGGCAGGACGCCAGGACCCCCGCAGCUGUGCAGGGCUCCGACAGAGGCAGGGCCGCCCCCUUCACGCGCCUGCCACGGUGACCCGCGCCCGCAGCUGACACCACACUGCUUUCCAGGACCUCAGGCUGCCGCUAACCCAGCCGCUUUCUCAUAAGCAGUGGGCAGCAGGGUCAGCCUGGCCCGCACACAGCCCUGGACGUGGAGCAGACAGUACCCUCCGGGCAGGGUCCAGGCAGAAUGCCACCAUCAACCACCUGGCCAAGGCCAACCCCCCGUAACUCCGAGGCAGGGGUGAGUGCCGCCUGGCCCUACCGGUAGGAGGUGCUCCGAAGCUCGCUGAUGACCUGAGUGAGCUGCGAGUGGGUCCUGGAGGCAUAAAUGAUCUUUGGGACGUCCGAGUAGCAGGCUGCCCAGACACAAGGAAGCAGGGCAGGUCACAGUUCCGGCAGACAAUGUUCUCGCAGGCUGUUAACCCAAGGGCACGUGGCCAACUCGACCCUGCGCACCUAGCCCCAGGAACGAGCUAUGUGGCUAGCCGCGGCGUUCUAGUGUGAACACGUGGCUCCGACCUGAGGCUCACGGCCAGAUGCUAGGAAAGAACGGAGCAGCCUCACCAGCCCACUCUGUCCCUGCGUUUCUUCUCUACGGAGCCCCAGAGGGGCCGAGAGGAGCCUCACCUGUGCUGUCUCCAUCAGAAGUGGCAGCUCCCCAGGACAAGGUGUGAUCGACAAAAAGCCCCCCCUGCGCCCUCUCGGCGAUCUUGCGGGCAGAGAUGGUGUCACGGAGGUGCUCCCGCCAGGCCAGCGUGGUGCAGAGGAGGCACAGUGUCUUCCCUGUGCCUGUGGGGCUCUCCAGGAUGCCAUUCACUUUCUGAACGGGGUCAGGAACAAGGUCACGGGGAAGCAGAGAGAGGCAGUGCAGACCACACUGCCCACCUGACACUGGUCUGGGGCAGUUCUGUCCAGGCAGAGCCCACCCAGCAGGUGGCGAAAGGCCUGGGGAACAGUGGACAACUGGACAGUGCUUCCACUCUCAAACCAAAAGCCAAAAGCUACCGGGUUAAUUCAGCCCUCAUUAACAAACAGCUUGCAGAACAUCACCUAAAGUAUUUUUCCACGUAACAUAAGUAGUAAAGUGACUAAUUAGGUUCCAAGUCUCAAGACAGAAGACUGUUCUGCAACUUUGCAUGCAGACAUUCGCACUGUCUGAACAGAACCUGACAACCUAUGUAGACCUGCAUGCACAGGCGGGAGCCCGAGCCACAAACCCUGAGACACACAAAGGCACAUCAGCAAAGCUGUGCCCCUCGCUCCCGGGACUGGGCACCAGGCUCCUCACUGCAGGAGUCCGUGUCCAGAACAGCAGUCAGGAGCCCCUCAGGGGCUGGGAGCUUCAGGAGGGUGUGAGAGAGCCUACCAAGAAAGCCAGCAGGAAGCAGCCCGCACCCCCCCCCCCCACCAACUUUCCUGCACACCCCUGGGGUUUGAAGACCUUCCAAAAUGACAGUUGGGCACUGACUAUCCCUCCAUGUGGAAAUACCUCCCCCGGAUCCUCAAGUGGGCCUCAGGGUGCUCCCAAGCCUAUGACCUCACGACUAUCCUUAGGAGUGAAAAGUGUCUUUUUCCGCCUACUUCCCUAUCGUCUUUCCUAGAACCCCAGCCCCAUUUAUGACUGAGUCCUGUAUCCAGAGGGAGACCUCAUUCCCAGCAGGGCCCAGCAGGAGUGAACAGGAAGGUGGACCCACUCCCAGGGCACAAAGCCCCCCAUCUGCAGCUGUACCUUCUGCAGACACUCCAGGACCUUGCUCAUGUACUCCUCCUGGCAUUUGUACGGCUGGAAGGGGAAGUCCACUGUCACACCAUUCAGGGCUAUCUUGGGCAUACUGGCCUGUUCUCAGGAAGGCACUGAGGCUGGCUGAUAAGCAGGCUGUGAGACAAAACCCCUCCGAACAUCUCAGGAUCUCCGCCACUGCGGGUAAGUGAUGCCAGCCAGCGGCGCUGGGACGUGACCCUGCUCCCAGCAGGAAGCCCUAUGGCAGAGACGGCAAGACUGCUUAUAGCAGGCCUUUCUGGAGUGCCAAGCCACCUCACCGAUCGAUGGGGCAGGCCCUCCCCCCCUGCAAGGUCGAAGGCAAGCCUGUGAUGUCCUAUCAUAAGGAGCUCGGGAAGAUGAGGAACCUACACGUCAGCCCUGCCUCGUUCUCCCGCCCCGCGCAGCUGGGUCCUGCUCGGGGAGAGUCGGCCAGACCCACAGAAACAACGACAGCCGGAGCCUGGGUGCAGUCCCACAAGCUCCGCCUGCAGUAAUUUCACUUAGUGCCAGCGGAGCUGGAGAGGCCAGACCCCCGGCUUGGGCCGGCCUCAACGUCCAGUCCCAGUUUCGCCUGGACACUGGGGCUAACGGACAGUUCACGUAAACACCGAAUGAUGGCCCUCCCUGCAGAGCCCGGCCCGCAGGGGAACCACCGCCCGGGAACCGGCUCCGCGCGGCGCGGGGCGCAGGCCACGAGAACAGGAAAACUACCGGCCCCAGAAGGCCGCGCGGCAGAAUGGCCGACGCGCGGGCGCAAAGUGGCGCGGGGCCUGCCGGGAGCUGCAGUUUCGGGAGGCGCCGCUCGGGUAAAAGUAUCUGUUCCAGGGUCUGUGCGAUUCACGGCCCAACGUGUGUCCGCGGGGAGCCUUGCACGACCCGGGGUCCCCAGGAAUUUACCCCAGUUUACCGAAGCACGACACCGCGUCUCCUCCGCCGUCAGCCGGUUCGGACUUGGCGGGCUGAGGCGCACAAUCGUCACUGAACGCGCUGCACUUCCGUCCCUAAUUCCGGUCCGCUGCACGUCGCUCCCCGCGGAAACCGUUCCGCUGCGGAGGGGUCCGCGCGCUCGGUUCCAGGCCCCACCCUGCCUCCGCCGUCGACCCUGAGCCUGGGGAUCGGCACCUCCAUCGCCCGCAGGCAGAAACCUAGGGUUCCAGCCGUCUCCUCCCUCGAUGCUUUCCCCACCAGAGCCUGCAUUCCAUCACUCCUCCCUGGGCUGAGCCACCUGGAUUGUCCAGACAAUUGCACAAACCUUCGGAUUGGUUAGCUGUGAUCCCUCCUCCCCUUUUCUCCCCAAGGGCUGCUCGGGCCUGGAGACCCUCAGCCGACUUUCUAGCCAAUGUCCCCCCCGACUGGUGAGGGUAGACCCCCCUGACUCCCCAGCACCUAGCACCGGCUGGCAGUCAGCAGUGGGACCAAGGGGUCUGCACAACUCUGUAGGCUGUAGGUAUUUGUAGAUGACCCCAGCCUGUCCCAAAAGGCACCAGCCAGCUGGCAAUGCUGACAUCAGAGUUUCUCAUGGGCUCUGUUUAAUGCCUAGAUGUGUGACAUCGUGCUUAGAGAAGCACGUGGACCACUGGCAUCCACCCCCCCCCCCACCUGUCCCACCUGUGAGGGGGUGUGCAGUGUUUGUCUUAGACUCUCAGCUAGAGAUUGGAGAAGAUGAGGAGACCUGGCCACACACUUGCUGAGUACUCACUCCAAACAGAUUUCACUACCAUCCACGCAGGCAUUGACAUGUUUGUCUUCCUAAUGGCCUCUGAGAUAAGUUCUUUUAUUAUCCACACUUCACAAAGAACAUGCUAGGUGGUGAGCAGAUCGCCCAAAGCCAGCAGCUAGCAAGUCUCAGAGCCAGGAGUCCUCCUCUUCAGGUCCACACACCCCUGUCUUCUAAAAGCAGAGGUGUUGGUGCUUCCAGAAGUCCAAGGAAGGUAGGGCAGGGCCCAGAGACUCGAGCCCCCUGGGCAGGACUGGAGCUGAGGACUCUGAGACCCUGAGUUGAUGCAUGAGCUGCCUGGUCACAAACCACACAUGGGGACUGCCAGGCCUCCUACAAAUUAUAACCUACAAAUUCCGUGUACUGAAUUUAGCCACGAAAGAUGAGAGGGAAUGGACACCAAGGCUGAAGGAUGACCAUAGCCAGCCCUGCCCAGCAGGCACAGAGGUCUUGAUCAAGUCAACAAAUUUGAGUUGAGCCUGCUGUUACGGGCUUUGUGAGAUACCCAUGUGGGUCAGACACUAUGUGGAACACAAGACAGAUGUUAACACACUC
Acinonyx jubatus (cheetah) is the source of this 16954-nucleotide long non-coding RNA. RefSeq lists it as uncharacterized. Lineage: Eukaryota; Metazoa; Chordata; Mammalia; Carnivora; Felidae. The record is from RefSeq and is a predicted model, not a curated record. The transcript has 4 exons.